AAGAUGGCGACCGGCGCACGGGUGAGUAACACGUAUCCAACCUGCCGAUAACUCCGGGAUAGCCUUUCGAAAGAAAGAUUAAUACCGGAUGGCAUACGAAUAUCGCAUGAUAUUUUUAUUAAAGAAUUUCGGUUAUCGAUGGGGAUGCGUUCCAUUAGUUUGUUGGCGGGGUAACGGCCCACCAAGACUACGAUGGAUAGGGGUUCUGAGAGGAAGGUCCCCCACAUUGGAACUGAGACACGGUCCAA
RNAcentral lists this ribosomal RNA (248 nucleotides) under uncultured bacterium. RNAcentral's name for it is "partial 16S ribosomal RNA". It matches the Rfam family "Bacterial small subunit ribosomal RNA", at positions 85 to 334 of the family's 1533-position model. The record is from RNAcentral.